RNAcentral lists this long non-coding RNA (411 nucleotides) under Brassica napus (rape). RNAcentral's name for it is "long non-coding RNA (BNAP_LNC018852)". The record is from RNAcentral. Lineage: Eukaryota; Viridiplantae; Streptophyta; Magnoliopsida; Brassicales; Brassicaceae.
UAGUAGUAUAUUGUUUCCAUAAUUAUCUUUAGUAAAAUUCUAAGUUUUUAUUAAUUACUCUGACAUUUAAUGUAAUAUAAUAUAUGACUAAAGUUUAGGUCCAAAUGAAUGUUUCAGUUACUAAAGAGAGAUUUAUAUUUUCAUAAAUAACAAUUACAUUUCAUUUAAACUUAAAAAAUCUUUCAUAUUAAGUUAAAUAUUUUAUAUAAAUGAAAUAACCCAUUAAGUUAAUUAGUUCUUAUGAUUCCACGGAUUUUAUCCACUUUAGCCAUGAUAUAUAGAUGUUUUAGAAACUUCCAUUAUGUUUUGGAGUCUUUUUAACACUUUUGCAUGUUCAGGGAUGAUUUGGAAAAAAAUGAUGAUUUGGAUGCAUUUUGGAAAUAAAAAUGAGAGGAAACUCGAAGAUGGCCA